This 2892-nucleotide ribosomal RNA is filed under the name Escherichia coli. RNAcentral's name for it is "bacterial LSU rRNA". Lineage: Bacteria; Pseudomonadati; Pseudomonadota; Gammaproteobacteria; Enterobacterales; Enterobacteriaceae. The record is from RNAcentral.
ACUAAGCGUACACGGUGGAUGCCCUGGCAGUCAGAGGCGAUGAAGGACGUGCUAAUCUGCGAUAAGCGUCGGUAAGGUGAUAUGAACCGUUAUAACCGGCGAUUUCCGAAUGGGGAAACCCAGUGUGWUUCGWYACACUAUCAUUAACUGAAUCCAUAGGUUAAUGAGGCGAACCGGGGGAACUGAAACAUCUAAGUACCCCGAGGAAAAGAAAUCAACCGAGAUUCCCCCAGUAGCGGCGAGCGAACGGGGAGSAGCCCAGAGCCUGAAUCAGURUGUGUGUUAGUGGAAGCGUCUGGAAAGGCGCGCGAUACAGGGUGACAGCCCCGUACACAAAAAUGCACAURYUGUGAGCUCGAUGAGUAGGGCGGGACACGUGGUAUCCUGUCUGAAUAUGGGGGGACCAUCCUCCAAGGCUAAAUACUCCUGACUGACCGAUAGUGAACCAGUACCGUGAGGGAAAGGCGAAAAGAACCCCGGCGAGGGGAGUGAAAAAGAACCUGAAACCGUGUACGUACAAGCAGUGGGAGCACGCUUAGGCGUGUGACUGCGUACCUUUUGUAUAAUGGGUCAGCGACUUAUAUUCUGUAGCAAGGUUAACCGAAUAGGGGAGCCGAAGGGAAACCGAGUCUUAACUGGGCGUUAAGUUGCAGGGUAUAGACCCGAAACCCGGUGAUCUAGCCAUGGGCAGGUUGAAGGUUGGGUAACACUAACUGGAGGACCGAACCGACUAAUGUUGAAAAAUUAGCGGAUGACUUGUGGCUGGGGGUGAAAGGCCAAUCAAACCGGGAGAUAGCUGGUUCUCCCCGAAAGCUAUUUAGGUAGCGCCUCGUGAAYUCAUCUCCGGGGGUAGAGCACUGUUUCGGCAAGGGGGUCAUCCCGACUUACCAACCCGAUGCAAACUGCGAAUACCGGAGAAUGUUAUCACGGGAGACACACGGCGGGUGCUAACGUCCGUCGUGAAGAGGGAAACAACCCAGACCGCCAGCUAAGGUCCCAAAGUCAUGGUUAAGUGGGAAACGAUGUGGGAAGGCCCAGACAGCCAGGAUGUUGGCUUAGAAGCAGCCAUCAUUUAAAGAAAGCGUAAUAGCUCACUGGUCGAGUCGGCCUGCGCGGAAGAUGUAACGGGGCUAAACCAUGCACCGAAGCUGCGGCAGCGACACUAUGYGUUGUUGGGUAGGGGAGCGUUCUGUAAGCCUGYGAAGGUGURCUGUGAGGYAUGCUGGAGGUAUCAGAAGUGCGAAUGCUGACAUAAGUAACGAUAAAGCGGGUGAAAAGCCCGCUCGCCGGAAGACCAAGGGUUCCUGUCCAACGUUAAUCGGGGCAGGGUGAGUCGACCCCUAAGGCGAGGCCGAAAGGCGUAGUCGAUGGGAAACAGGUUAAUAUUCCUGUACUUGGUGUUACUGCGAAGGGGGGACGGAGAAGGCUAUGUUGGCCGGGCGACGGUUGUCCCGGUUUAAGCGUGUAGGCUGGUUUUCCAGGCAAAUCCGGAAAAUCAAGGCUGAGGCGUGAUGACGAGGCACUACGGUGCUGAAGCAACAAAUGCCCUGCUUCCAGGAAAAGCCUCUAAGCAUCAGGUAACAUCAAAUCGUACCCCAAACCGACACAGGUGGUCAGGUAGAGAAUACCAAGGCGCUUGAGAGAACUCGGGUGAAGGAACUAGGCAAAAUGGUGCCGUAACUUCGGGAGAAGGCACGCUGAUAUGUAGGUGAAGUCCCUUGCGGAUGGAGCUGAAAUCAGUCGAAGAUACCAGCUGGCUGCAACUGUUUAUUAAAAACACAGCACUGUGCAAACACGAAAGUGGACGUAUACGGUGUGACGCCUGCCCGGUGCCGGAAGGUUAAUUGAUGGGGUCAGCGCAAGCGAAGCUCUUGAUCGAAGCCCCGGUAAACGGCGGCCGUAACUAUAACGGUCCUAAGGUAGCGAAAUUCCUUGUCGGGUAAGUUCCGACCUGCACGAAUGGCGUAAUGAUGGCCAGGCUGUCUCCACCCGAGACUCAGUGAAAUUGAACUCGCUGUGAAGAUGCAGUGUACCCGCGGCAAGACGGAAAGACCCCGUGAACCUUUACUAUAGCUUGACACUGAACAUUGAGCCUUGAUGUGUAGGAUAGGUGGGAGGCUUGGAAGUGUGGACGCCAGUCUGCAUGGAGCCGACCUUGAAAUACCACCCUUUAAUGUUUGAUGUUCUAACGUUGACCCGUAAUCCGGGUUGCGGACAGUGUCUGGUGGGUAGUUUGACUGGGGCGGUCUCCUCCUAAAGAGUAACGGAGGAGCACGAAGGUUGGCUAAUCCUGGUCGGACAUCAGGAGGUUAGUGCAAUGGCAUAAGCCAGCUUGACUGCGAGCGUGACGGCGCGAGCAGGUGCGAAAGCAGGUCAUAGUGAUCCGGUGGUUCUGAAUGGAAGGGCCAUCGCUCAACGGAUAAAAGGUACUCCGGGGAUAACAGGCUGAUACCGCCCAAGAGUUCAUAUCGACGGCGGUGUUUGGCACCUCGAUGUCGGCUCAUCACAUCCUGGGGCUGAAGUAGGUCCCAAGGGUAUGGCUGUUCGCCAUUUAAAGUGGUACGCGAGCUGGGUUUAGAACGUCGUGAGACAGUUCGGUCCCUAUCUGCCGUGGGCGCUGGAGAACUGAGGGGGGCUGCUCCUAGUACGAGAGGACCGGAGUGGACGCAUCACUGGUGUUCGGGUUGUCAUGCCAAUGGCACUGCCCGGUAGCUAAAUGCGGAAGAGAUAAGUGCUGAAAGCAUCUAAGCACGAAACUUGCCCCGAGAUGAGUUCUCCCUGACCCUUUAAGGGUCCUGAAGGAACGUUGAAGACGACGACGUUGAUAGGCCGGGUGUGUAAGCGCAGCGAUGCGUUGAGCUAACCGGUACUAAUGAACCGUGAGGCUUAACC